CAGAAAAGCCUGUCGCAGAGAUGCCACUCAUCAUGCGCUGAGGCUCCCUCCACUUCAGCCCUUGCUGCUGCAAUUCGAAGAAGGCACCUUGGCAAAGCUAAGCAUUUAUGUUCUCUUAGGAGGUGUUUGUGCCUCAUCUCUGCCCUCCAUUCCUAAGCUUCAUGGAAUAACAUCCAGACUUUGGGAACUGUUGGUUGUAGGCCCUUGAUGGAAGGAGAGAAACCUUGUCUGUGUCAUGUCAGGACACAGCAACGAGGCAGUUGGCUGCGAGCCGGGAAGAGGGCCCUCACCAGGAGCCACAUCUGCCAGCACCUUGAUCCUGGAUUUCCAGCCUCCAGAACUAUGAGAAGAAACUAUCUGUUGUUUAAUCCAUCCAGUUGGUGGAAUAUUGUUACAGCAGCCUGAGCAGACCUAACGCACACUGAUAGGCAGAAAUUAAGGACAAAAUAUACCAAAAUAGGGGUUAUCUCUGGGCACCAAGACUACAUGCCAUUAUUCAAUUUUUUCCAUCAGUAUGCUAAACAUAAAAGCAUGGAAAAGAAAUAUUGGGCCAGCUCUGGGGCAGUGUGACAAUGGCCUCUCGGGUAGAUCCCACAGAGUGACUGCAGUUCAAAUCGCCGGCCUGGUCAGCCUGAAACACACAGGGCACGUGUGUGUGCCCAAGAUGCAAAGGGCUGGAGGACCGGAGGAUGGGCAAGGUGUGUGACCAGACUCUGUGGGGGGUGUUCAUCCUUCUCUCUCUUUCUCUCUGGUAUGUACAAAUACUCUAUAAUGAGUAAUAGCAAUAAAGGAAAUAUUAAUGAUGUUAGGAAAAUAAAAAAGUAACU
Tupaia belangeri chinensis (Chinese tree shrew) is the source of this 827-nucleotide long non-coding RNA. RefSeq lists it as uncharacterized. The record is from RefSeq and is a predicted model, not a curated record. NCBI's taxonomy places the organism in Eukaryota, Metazoa, Chordata, Mammalia, Scandentia, Tupaiidae. The transcript has 3 exons.